RNAcentral lists this ribosomal RNA (167 nucleotides) under uncultured Glomeromycotina. RNAcentral's name for it is "partial 18S ribosomal RNA". It matches the Rfam family "Eukaryotic small subunit ribosomal RNA", at positions 917 to 1078 of the family's 1831-position model. Lineage: Eukaryota; Fungi; Glomeromycota. The record is from RNAcentral.
UUCUNGGAUUAUUGAAGACUAACUACUGCGAAAGCAUUUGCCAAGGGAUGUUUUCCCCNCUUUAAGAACGAAAGUUAGGGGAUCGAAGACGAUCAGAUACCCUUUAUANUCUUAACCAUAAACUAUGCCGACUAGGGAUCGGAUGAUGUUAAUUUUUUAAUGACUCA